This 498-nucleotide ribosomal RNA is filed under the name Triticum aestivum (bread wheat). RNAcentral's name for it is "partial small subunit ribosomal RNA". Lineage: Eukaryota; Viridiplantae; Streptophyta; Magnoliopsida; Poales; Poaceae. The record is from RNAcentral.
AUGCAAGUCUACCUGCUAACUCAAGCCAUUAGCUCGGUGGAGAGGAACAUUGACGAGCCGGAUCAGUUCGACUGGCCCUGCGACGCGUCUGGCAAAUACACAGCCAGCUCUACCUAUAUGAGGCUCUGCAUUGGAUACACGCGUGCCCCGGCUGCCGGUUGCAUUUCGCGAAGUUGGGCCCCUCUCAAAUGCAAAAUCUUCAUGUGGUUGGCCUGUCAAUACCGGCUAUGGACUUCGGACCGCCGUGCCCGGCAUGGCCUUCAAGACGCCCCAUCCCCUUGCUAUACUUGUCUCCAAGAUGAGGACAACGCGGAUCACAUUCUCGUGCAGCGCGUCUACGCCUGCGAGGUGUGGCACUCCUGUUUCAGCUCAUGGAGAUUCACCAUCCACACGCCAGACGCAAACGCCACAUUCUUGCAAUGGUGGCUUGAGCAAAGGAGUAGAUUCAGAGGGAAGGCCAAGAGAUCCGUGGACUCCGUCGUGAUUCUCAUCUCAUGA